This is a long non-coding RNA of Dromaius novaehollandiae (emu), 667 nucleotides long. RefSeq lists it as uncharacterized. NCBI's taxonomy places the organism in Eukaryota, Metazoa, Chordata, Aves, Casuariiformes, Dromaiidae. The record is from RefSeq and is a predicted model, not a curated record. The transcript has 3 exons.
GCAAGUGGUUUCAGUAGCCCAUGACCACACUACAUGUGUUUCCUGGGGCCUGGAGUUGCAUGGGAGAAGCUUCUGGCAAACACAUGAGGAUUUGGAUUUGAAGCACAGUAGCGUUACACCAAACGGACAUGCUGACUCUGCCCUCAGAGGCCUCUGUAGUUCAGGCAUCUGCACUGAAACAUUCUGGAUUUCACUGGGCAUGGUGCCUGGUGGUGACGACUGUACAAUCUGCUACCAAAGCAAAUUUUAGAGGAGGUGGCUGACCAGUGGCUAUGGCUGCUUUCUACAUAUAAAUGAUAUUGUGUGUAUCUGUUUGACCAUGGUAGGAUAUUUAAUGUAUUGUAGAAACAAGCUUUGUACCUCCAGACUUGGUGUCACUUUCAUCACGGAUCCUUUCUUCCAAACGUAUUUUCCCUCAUUUCAGCCUUGGUAUCUUUUUAAAAAAAACUUUAAAAUGUAGUUUUCUAUGAAAAAUAUACCCUACUGUUGUUUCUUUUCUUUCUUUUUUCUUUUUUCUUUUUUUCUGAAAAAGGGAACUUUAUUGUAAGCACUGUUGUUUAAGUGAAGUAUAGUGUACAGGAUGUUAAGUAAGUGCUCAGCCAAAUGUCAUUGUGAACCCAUAAAUCCUUAGCAGAAAAAAAAAUAAAUAUUUUUAUUUUCUCUGAAA